UUUCGGAGGUAAGAGAUUCCAUUGCAGAGUAGUAUGCAGCCUUGCUUGAGUUACAAAAGUAAAGGUGACUUGAGAAUAGAAAUGACACAUGGCACGGCCAAAGUACCAGUUAUUGGUACUGCUUUGUUUAGUGUUGGCAACUAUAUGCGUACUGGGGUAUAAUGUCCAGCUAGAAGCCAGUGAAGCUAUGGCCUUUUGUCUGGGCUCAUUCAUCCAAAAAUCUAAUGAGGAGUAUCUCUACAAAGUUCUUAACUUCAAGUACAAACUGCUUCAGAUCAUGAUUUAGAAAGGAAUUCAUCUUGAAUGCACGGAUCAGACUAACCAAUUGCAAAAAGGGAGAGGUGCAGAAAGAUAGUUCCUCUGUCUGGCACUGAUAAAGCAAUGGUGAAAAUGAAGGUAAAGUGUUUAUCACUGCAAAGAUUACUCAAUUAUAAUAGCACCAGACUAACACAGUAAUAGCCUAUAGGACAACAUAAAUAACAAUAGGUAACACUUAACUUUGCACCCAGCAUCAUAACACGUUAUGACACGGUCAUAACCAUGUCAUAACAGCUGACAUAACUUGUCCUAAACUGUCAUAAUAUGGUCAAAACACUGUCAGGACACAUAUAUUGAAAUCUGUUGUGACAUAUAUUGCGUUGUUUCAUGACUGGUUAUGACACUUCCUUAAGAGUGUUAAAACCCACAAAACCUGCCACAGUAGUUAUUUUAUGGCUGCUUAUGACACCUACAUAAAGGUUUCAAAACUCACUAAACCUACCACACAAGACAAAACAUGCCAUUUACAUUUUACAUUUGAGUCAUUUAGCAGACGCUCUGAUUCAGAGCGACUUCCAUUAAACCAUAGCCUACUUUUCAAUAUUAUGUUUAUGUUAUGUAACAUUUACUGAAAUUGACCAUGUUCAUUUAUUUUUGUAAUUGCGCACAAAUUGAUGUCAGACAUGCACCGACCCCAAUGCUCUGCUGCUGAUGACUGGGAUGAAUGCAGGAGAAGAUUUCAGAAGCAGGACAAGACCUCCUUUUUUUUGACUGAUGACUGACAUAACGGCAUGUAUGUGAUAGGCCUAUAUGAUUAUGAUGGUCAUAAUGCUUCUUGACAGUAUCAUAAAGUGCAUUUUCUUAGUCCAAGUAAAGUGGCACAGGAUGGUCAUAAUGCUUCAUGACAGUGUCAUAAAGUGUAUUUUCUACAAGUUAUUUAAAAUAUGAUGAGAAAAAAAAACAAGACUUUAAAGAAUUCAUGACAACAACAACGGACUUAAGAAACACAUUUUCAAAUGAAAGGAAACUUCUUGACGGGGAAAAAAGACAUUUGAUUAAAUGUGGGUUUUCACACUCUUAUGUAGGUGUCAUCUCCAAACAUAAAAUAACGCAAUAUAUGUCACAACAGGUGUAAAUAUAUGGGUUAUGACAGUGUUAUGACCAUAAUAUGAGAGGUUAUGACAAGUUAUGUUAGCUGUUAUGACAUAUUAUGACAGGGUUAUGACUGUCAUAACGUGUUAUGAAGCUGGGUGUCAAGGAAAGUGUUAGUAUGAAAGAAUUAUGUUUUGUGCAGUUGAACAUUCUGUUAUUCUUUCUAAGGAAACCUAUUUAUUCUGUUUCAAAUGUUGGGGUGCCGCUUUGUAGUGUUGCUAUACAAGAGCAAAAUGGUGUUGACCCAGAAUGUUUGCAAACCAAUGUAAAAUGAGUCCCUGAAGCAUCAAAAUGUCUAGUCAUUCUCUGGUGACUGGUCUGAAUUUGAUUGUAGCCUAGCUAAACUACUAUUAUUGUGUAAAU
Molecule: long non-coding RNA, 1773 nt
Organism: Oncorhynchus tshawytscha (Chinook salmon)
Lineage: Eukaryota; Metazoa; Chordata; Actinopteri; Salmoniformes; Salmonidae
Source: Ensembl